RNAcentral lists this ribosomal RNA (468 nucleotides) under uncultured bacterium. Its description in RNAcentral is "partial 16S ribosomal RNA". It matches the Rfam family "Bacterial small subunit ribosomal RNA", at positions 28 to 507 of the family's 1533-position model. The record is from RNAcentral.
GACGAACGCUGGCGGCGUGCUUAACACAUGCAAGUCGAACGGAAAGGCCCUGCUUUUGUGGGGUGCUCGAGUGGCGAACGGGUGAGUAACACGUGAGUAACCUGCCCUUGACUUUGGGAUAACUUCAGGAAACUGGGGCUAAUACCGGAUAGGAGCUCCUGCUGCAUGGUGGGGGUUGGAAAGUUUCGGCGGUUGGGGAUGGACUCGCGGCUUAUCAGCUUGUUGGUGGGGUAGUGGCUUACCAAGGCUUUGACGGGUAGCCGGCCUGAGAGGGUGACCGGCCAAAUUGGGACUGGGAUACGGCCCAGAAUCCUACGGGAGGCAGCAGUGGGGAAUAUUGCACAAUGGGCGGAAGCCUGAUGCAGCAACGCCGCGUGCGGGAUGACGGCCUUCGGGUUGUAAACCGCUUUCGCCUGUGACGAAGCGUGAGUGACGGUAAUGGGUAAAGAAGCACCGGCUAACUACGUG